CAAGGUGUCACUGUGUCCUCAAAGCUUCAGCUUGGCCUACACCAGCACCCUGAGCUGACUGCUUUCUGAAGUGAAACACCCACAGUGUACAGUGAAAGUUACUGCUCCCGUCAGUCCAGUCCAGUGUGACAUUCGGAGAGAGAUUUUUCUGGAUGUCUGGAGCCCAGAUAUGAAGAGAAAAAAAAGAAGAAAAAAAAGAAAAGAAAUCUCAACACAGCUCUUGAAUGAGGAUGUUGCUGGAAGCUCUGUGUUUGUCCUGCUCUUACAGUGAUGAUAAACUGAAUUCAAGCUUGACUGCACUGAGACCCAAUUAGAAGAGCAGGAAUAUAUAAUACAUCAUUCAGAGAAAUGAUUAACUUGAGGAUCAUGAUCCUGAAUACUGCGUUUCCCAGAGGAGUCGACAAAAGGAAGCUUCACUGCAGUAUUCAUGUGAGUUUUGUUUGUGUGUUUAAAUGAGUGUUUGUUUCAUUUUUUGUUUUGCUUAUUUUUGUGCUGGUCUGAUGUUGGUCUGGUUUUGGUGGUCUUUCUUGUGAUUCUGACUGACCAAGCAAGUCGUUUGCCUAAUUUCAGCCAUAAUUGACAUUUAUUAUAUACUCAGUGUUCAGUAUAUUUGGAUGUUGAGUGCAUUUUGAUUUGUCUGUGUGCACAUAAU
Molecule: long non-coding RNA, 652 nt
Organism: Onychostoma macrolepis
Lineage: Eukaryota; Metazoa; Chordata; Actinopteri; Cypriniformes; Cyprinidae
Exons: 3
Source: RefSeq, a predicted model, not a curated record